Long non-coding RNA from Amphiprion ocellaris (clown anemonefish), 517 nucleotides. The record is from Ensembl. NCBI's taxonomy places the organism in Eukaryota, Metazoa, Chordata, Actinopteri, Pomacentridae.
UUGAAACUGAGUGUUUUAUCGACAUGCGUUUUUUUGUUCUUCACAAACAGAUCGCAUUUUAAAUGUCAAUACCACAGUCGAUCAUGUUUACAGAUUCAAAAUUGUGAUCGCUGUUAAAAAUUGAGACUUCAAGACUGAAUAUGGGCGCUACUUUUUCCUUUUUUAAGCUAAAACGUCAAGAUCUCUACCUGCAUCUGAACACUUCCUAUCAUCAGGAGCAGCGGGCCGCAACAACACAGUGUCAGGGUAUCAACUCCACAUCUGAGGCCUGCACUUCAGUCUAGGAAAAAGGCAGAUAAAGAAACCCAACAAGGAGAUUGAGACUACCAUAUCAGGUCGGGCUGUCCGAGGAUCGGCCUGUGGGAUGGAGCUAGCAUGACCCCAGCAACAAAGGCUGUGAUCACAUCAGACCCUAUUGCACCCUCUGCUGGACCUUCAUGAGAAUGACCUUGUUAUCACUACAAAGAUACUCAUGUCUCAGGCUGCACAGGCCAAUCACAGAGUGGUGCAAUAACAA